AGUGAACGCUGGCGGUAGGCCUAACACAUGCAAGUCGAACGGCAGCACAGUAAGAGCUUGCUCUUACGGGUGGCGGGUGGCGGACGGGUGAGGAAUACAUCGGAAUCUACUUUUUCGUGGGGGAUAACGUAGGGAAACUUACGCUAAUACCGCAUACGACCUACGGGUGAAAGCAGGGGAUCUUCGGACCUUGCGCGAUUGAAUGAGCCGAUGUCGGAUUAGCUAGUUGGCGGGGUAAAGGCCCACCAAGGCGACGAUCCGUAGCUGGUCUGAGAGGAUGAUCAGCCCCCCUGGAACUGAGACACGGUCCAGACUCCUUCGGGAGGCAGCAGUGGGGAAUAUUGGACAAUGGGCGCAAGCCUGAUCCAGCCAUACCGCGUGGGUGAAGAAGGCCUUCGGGUUGUAAAGCCCUUUUGUUGGGAAAGAAAAGCAGCAGGUUAAUACCCCGCUGUUCUGACGGUACCCAAAGAAUAAGCACCGGCUAACUUCGUG
Molecule: ribosomal RNA, 492 nt
Filed under: uncultured bacterium
Lineage: Bacteria
Description: partial 16S ribosomal RNA
Rfam family: Bacterial small subunit ribosomal RNA
Source: RNAcentral